This 206-nucleotide ribosomal RNA is filed under the name uncultured bacterium. RNAcentral describes it as "partial 16S ribosomal RNA". It matches the Rfam family "Bacterial small subunit ribosomal RNA", at positions 568 to 774 of the family's 1533-position model. The record is from RNAcentral.
AGCGUAGACGGAUGGACAAGUCUGAUGUGAAAGGCUGGGGCUCAACCCCGGGACUGCAUUGGAAACUGCCCGUCUUGAGUGCCGGAGAGGUAAGCGGAAUUCCUAGUGUAGCGGUGAAAUGCGUAGAUAUUAGGAGGAACACCAGUGGCGAAGGCGGCUUUCUGGACUGACACUGACGCUGAGGCUCGAAAGCGUGGGAGCAAACA